This is a long non-coding RNA of Megalobrama amblycephala (Wuchang bream), 1018 nucleotides long. RefSeq lists it as uncharacterized. The record is from RefSeq and is a predicted model, not a curated record. The transcript is spliced from 3 exons. NCBI's taxonomy places the organism in Eukaryota, Metazoa, Chordata, Actinopteri, Cypriniformes, Xenocyprididae.
GAAACUUUCCCCGGCGUGUUCGCUGCUCAUCUCCUCGUCUUUCAAGAAGUGUGACUCUUGAAACCCGUCCAUAAAUUCCUCUAGAUUGAUCGUGCCGUCUUUGUCUGUGUCAAGUCUGGAGAAAAUCGCAUCUAUCUCGAAUAAGGAUUUGAAGAUGACAGAAACAUCAUAUGCAGCUGUGUAAAUGAAGAAGUGCUCAAAGAGAUCUCUGUUUUCAACAACAACAUGCACCAUCUUCACAAUGUUCACAGAACUACACCAGUCAGCUCUUUAUGCAAGAUUAUUGAAACAAAAAGCCCUUGAGCAACCUCCCCUAAAUGACUCUCAUAUCGAGCAGUGUCAUGCACCUAUACAACACAGACAGAAAAUGAUAAGCACAGAUGGAGGAAACUAAGCAACACACACCACAUCUCUGAAUGACAUCUGCAAAUACCUCAACUGUUAGAUUUAAUAAUAAUGAUUUAAUCUGUGCAAUCUCUGUUGUACUUUUGUGCAUCUCUGCACAGAAACCAUAGAAAAUUCUGCACAAACUCAAAUCAAAUCACUCUGGGUCUCUAUUGGUCAUGAACAAACAUACAGGAUUCUUAAGCUGUAAGAAAAAAAACUUGUGCUUUUUAUGAAUGCGUUAACAUCUCACUGCUGUAGCAUAGAGUGGACAGCUCAGAUCUGACAAUGUUUUGAUGUAGGAAAAUGAAAAAAAUGAAGAGUCAGCUGUCUUAUUUCAUGCAUCAUUCCUGCAGAAAUGCAUACUGAAUAAAAUAUCAUAGAGGGUGUCAUUGAGCCAUUGGUCAUGUGAAACAUGACCUGGUUCUGUCCACCUUUGCAUGUUUUAAUGCAUAUAUUAUCUUAUGAUUAACAACUUAUAGUAAUGAAACAACCUAACAUUUUGACCGUUAUCUAAGAGCAUUCUAGGAUGCAUCACUGAACCUGAAACCAGGGCAUCAUACUCAUUUUAGUAUUACAUCAGAGGCUGGUGAAUCUCACAAAAACUGUCAAAAACAUGUAAACAAUAUAUUAC